AGAUUGAACGCUGGCGGCAUGCCUUACACNUGCAAGUCGAACGGUAACGCGGGGCAACCUGGCGACGAGUGGCGAACGGGUGAGUAACGCAUCGGAACGUGCCCAGUAGUGGGGGAUAGCCCGGCGAAAGCGGAUUAAUACCGCAUACGACCUAAGGGUGAAAGCGGGGGAUCGCAAGACCUCGCGCUAUUGGAGCGGCCGAUGUCAGAUUAGGUAGUUGGUGGGGUAAAGGCCUACCAAGCCGACGAUCUGUAGCUGGUCUGAGAGGACGACCAGCCACACUGGGACUGAGACACGGCCCAGACUCCUACGGGAGGCAGCAGUGGGGAAUUUUGGACAAUGGGCGCAACCUGGAUCCAGCCAUGCCGCGUGCGGGAAGAAGGCCUUCGGGUUGUAAACCGCUUUUGUCAGGGAAGAAAAGGCUCGAACUAAUACUUUGGGCUCAUGACGGUACCUGAAGAAUAAGCACCGGCUAACUACGUGCCAACAGCCGCGGUAAUACGUAGGGUGCAAGCGUUAAUCGGAAUUACUGGGCGUAAAGCGUGCGCAGGCGGUCUUGUAARACARARGURAAAUCCCCGGGCUCAACCUGGGAACUGCCUUUGUGACUGCAAGGCUUGAGUACGGUAGARGGGGAUGGAAUUCCGCGU
This 650-nucleotide ribosomal RNA is filed under the name uncultured Rubrivivax sp. RNAcentral's name for it is "bacterial SSU rRNA". It matches the Rfam family "Bacterial small subunit ribosomal RNA", at positions 26 to 674 of the family's 1533-position model. The record is from RNAcentral. Lineage: Bacteria; Pseudomonadati; Pseudomonadota; Betaproteobacteria; Burkholderiales; Sphaerotilaceae.